AUAUUACCUGGCAGGAGAGCGAUUGUGUGAGGCUUAUCCCUUGCUCUCCAGAUAUGCCAACCCUGUCAUUUCUCCAGCUGUGAGAAACUCAACUACAUAUUUUGUGGUAGUGGGAACCAAUGGUCACACUCUUUUCUG
RNAcentral lists this small nuclear RNA (138 nucleotides) under Mesocricetus auratus (golden hamster). Its description in RNAcentral is "U1 spliceosomal RNA (ENSMAUG00000002525.1)". It matches the Rfam family "U1 spliceosomal RNA". From Rfam's summary of the family: U1 is a small nuclear RNA (snRNA) component of the spliceosome (involved in pre-mRNA splicing). Its 5' end forms complementary base pairs with the 5' splice junction, thus defining the 5' donor site of an intron. There are significant differences in sequence and secondary structure between metazoan and yeast U1 snRNAs, the latter being much longer (568 nucleotides as compared to 164 nucleotides in human). The record is from RNAcentral. Lineage: Eukaryota; Metazoa; Chordata; Mammalia; Rodentia; Cricetidae.